CAAAUAUUGACUGCCUGCUGUCCCCCUGUUCCGGGUGCCGGGAAUAUAGUGGACACAAGACCCCUGCCCUCCUGUUCCGGGUGCCAGGAAUAUAGUGGACACAAGAGGCCUUACAUUGUAACAGGAGUGCUGGACAGAUGUGCCUGUCUGUCGCAGACUGAGGAGCGCCAGGAAGUCCAAAGCCAAGCCCAAUGGCAAGAAGCCCGCUGCGGAGGAGAGGAAGGCCUACCUGGAGCCCGAGCACACCAAGGCCAGGAUCACCGACUUCCAGUUCAAGGAGCUGGUGGUGCUGCCCCGCGAGAUUGACCUUAACGAGUGGCUGGCCAGCAACAGUGCGCGGGGGCCUGGGGGCGGGCCCCUUCCCUCCUCCCUGCUCCUCCUCGAAGCCCCUCCUCAAGGGGGACCCCCCACGGCUGGUUCUCAGCAGCCCCCUGCCGCAAGGGGAGAGUGUGGCCCGUGGACGGGCAGAGCUCACCCAG
RNAcentral lists this small RNA (479 nucleotides) under Pan troglodytes (chimpanzee). RNAcentral describes it as "retained intron". The record is from RNAcentral. Lineage: Eukaryota; Metazoa; Chordata; Mammalia; Primates; Hominidae.